GUCUGUAUGAGAGUUAUAUAAAGUCUGGCCUGCCCAUUGGGAACUAAAAGGCCGCGGUAUUGUGACCGUGCGAAGGUAGCAUAAUCAUUAGUCUUUUAAUUGGAGGCUGGAAUGAAUGGCUGGACGAGAAGUAAGCUGUCUUUAUCUCAGAAGUUGAAUUUAACUUUUAAGUGAAAAGGCUUAAAUGAAUUAGAGGGACGAUAAGACCCUAUAAAGUUUAAACACUGAGUUAGUUAAGAGUGAUUUAGAGUAGUAAGGUUUAUUAUUAGUUAGGUGUUUGGUUGGGGCGACUAGAAUAUAAGUUAUAUAACUGUUUUUUAUUUGAAUCAGAGAUAUCUGUUCACAUGAUCCCUUUUUAGGAUUAAAGAGUAAAUUACUUUAGGGAUAACAGCGUAAUUUUUUUUGAGAGUUCUUAUCGACAAAAGAGUUUGCGACCUCGAUGUUGAAUUAAAAUUUCUUUGUGGCGUAGCAGUUACAAAAGAAGGUCUGUUCGACCUUUAAAUUUUUACAUGAUUUGAGUUCCUACCGGCGUGA
Molecule: ribosomal RNA, 534 nt
Filed under: Cherax sp. n. 5 RE-2014
Lineage: Eukaryota; Metazoa; Arthropoda; Malacostraca; Decapoda; Parastacidae
Description: partial 16S ribosomal RNA
Rfam family: Bacterial large subunit ribosomal RNA
Source: RNAcentral